GUGAUAUACAGUAUAUAAGCAAUCAAGGCCAAGCACUUUUAAUUUUAACACACACCAUGAUCUCUACAUCCCUACUGCUGCUGCUGCUGGCAGCCACCGACUUUGUUUACAGUGUUGAGCUGAUCCAGACUAGCUCCAUGAUAGUAACCCCUGGUCAGUCACUGACUCUGACCUGUAAAGUGUCUGGAUAUUCAUUGACUGAUAGCAACUACUGUACACAGUGGAUACGACAACCUACAGGAAAAACUCUGGAGUGGAUCGGAUGGAUAUGUAGUGAUGGUGGCACUGGCUACAGUGAAAAACUGAAAAGCAGGGUCCAGAUUUCCAGAGACACGUCCAGCAGCACAGUAACAUUAACAGGACAGAAUAUGCAGACUGAAGACACAGCUGUGUAUUACUGCGCUCGCUAUCCACAGUGA
Non-coding RNA from Clarias gariepinus (North African catfish), 419 nucleotides. The record is from the annotation of a RefSeq genome assembly. Lineage: Eukaryota; Metazoa; Chordata; Actinopteri; Siluriformes; Clariidae.